This 345-nucleotide unclassified non-coding RNA is filed under the name soil metagenome. Its description in RNAcentral is "partial contains 5.8S ribosomal RNA, internal transcribed spacer 2, and large subunit ribosomal RNA". The stretch from base 1 to 120 matches the Rfam family "5.8S ribosomal RNA", at positions 35 to 154 of the family's 154-position model. The record is from RNAcentral.
GAUGAAGAACGUAGCGAAAUGCGAUAAGUAAUGUGAAUUGCAGAAUUCAGUGAAUCAUCGAAUCUUUGAACGCACAUUGCGCCCCCUGGUAUUCCGGGGGGCAUGCCUGUCCGAGCGUCAUUACAACCCUCAAGCACGGCUUGUGUGUUGGGCCUCCGUCCUCCUCCCGGGGGACGGGCCCGAAAGGCAGCGGCGGCACCGCGUCCGGUCCUCGAGCGUAUGGGGCUUCGUCACCCGCUCUUGUAGGCCCGGCCGGCGCUUGCCGACACAUCAAUCUUUUUUCCAGGUUGACCUCGGAUCAGGUAGGGAUACCCGCUGAACUUAAGCAUAUCAAUAAGCGGAGGA